AGAGUUUGAUCAUGGCUCAGAUUGAACGCUGGCGGCAGGCCUAACACAUGCAAGUCGAGCGGUAGCACAGAGAGCUUGCUCUCGGGUGACGAGCGGCGGACGGGUGAGUAAUGUCUGGGAAACUGCCUGAUGGAGGGGGAUAACUACUGGAAACGGUAGCUAAUACCGCAUAAUGUCGCAAGACCAAAGUGGGGGACCUUCGGGCCUCAUGCCAUCAGAUGUGCCCAGAUGGGAUUAGCUAGUAGGUGGGGUAACGGCUCACCUAGGCGACGAUCCCUAGCUGGUCUGAGAGGAUGACCAGCCACACUGGAACUGAGACACGGUCCAGACUCCUACGGGAGGCAGCAGUGGGGAAUAUUGCACAAUGGGCGCAAGCCUGAUGCAGCCAUGCCGCGUGUGUGAAGAAGGCCUUCGGGUUGUAAAGCACUUUCAGCGGGGAGGAAGGCGAUAAGGUUAAUAACCUUGUCGAUUGACGUUACCCGCAGAAGAAGCACCGGCUAACUCCGUGCCAGCAGCCGCGGUAAUACGGAGGGUGCAAGCGUUAAUCGGAAUUACUGGGCGUAAAGCGCACGCAGGCGGUCUGUCAAGUCGGAUGUGAAAUCCCCGGGCUCAACCUGGGAACUGCAUUCGAAACUGGCAGGCUAGAGUCUUGUAGAGGGGGGUAGAAUUCCAGGUGUAGCGGUGAAAUGCGUAGAGAUCUGGAGGAAUACCGGUGGCGAAGGCGGCCCCCCUGGACAAAGACUGACGCUCAGGUGCGAAAGCGUGGGGAGCAAACAGGAUUAGAUACCCUGGUAGUCCACGCCGUAAACGAUGUCGAUUUGGAGGUUGUGCCCUUGAGGCGUGGCUUCCGGAGCUAACGCGUUAAAUCGACCGCCUGGGGAGUACGGCCGCAAGGUUAAAACUCAAAUGAAUUGACGGGGGCCCGCACAAGCGGUGGAGCAUGUGGUUUAAUUCGAUGCAACGCGAAGAACCUUACCUGGUCUUGACAUCCACAGAACUUUCCAGAGAUGGAUUGGUGCCUUCGGGAACUGUGAGACAGGUGCUGCAUGGCUGUCGUCAGCUCGUGUUGUGAAAUGUUGGGUUAAGUCCCGCAACGAGCGCAACCCUUAUCCUUUGUUGCCAGCGGUUCGGCCGGGAACUCAAAGGAGACUGCCAGUGAUAAACUGGAGGAAGGUGGGGAUGACGUCAAGUCAUCAUGGCCCUUACGACCAGGGCUACACACGUGCUACAAUGGCAUAUACAAAGAGAAGCGACCUCGCGAGAGCAAGCGGACCUCAUAAAGUAUGUCGUAGUCCGGAUUGGAGUCUGCAACUCGACUCCAUGAAGUCGGAAUCGCUAGUAAUCGUAGAUCAGAAUGCUACGGUGAAUACGUUCCCGGGCCUUGUACACACCGCCCGUCACACCAUGGGAGUGGGUUGCAAAAGAAGUAGGUAGCUUAACCUUCGGGAGGGCGCUUACCACUUUGUGAUUCAUGACUGGGGUGAAGUCGUAACAAGGUAACCGUAGGGGAACCUGCGGUUGGAUCACCU
Molecule: ribosomal RNA, 1529 nt
Filed under: Klebsiella aerogenes
Lineage: Bacteria; Pseudomonadati; Pseudomonadota; Gammaproteobacteria; Enterobacterales; Enterobacteriaceae
Description: bacterial SSU rRNA
Rfam family: Bacterial small subunit ribosomal RNA
Source: RNAcentral